GCCCAGAUAGCUCAGUCGGUAGAGCAUCAGACUUUUAAUUUGAGGGUCCAGCGUUCAAGUCCCUGUUCGGGCG
This is a non-coding RNA of Danio rerio (zebrafish), 73 nucleotides long. The record is from Rfam. NCBI's taxonomy places the organism in Eukaryota, Metazoa, Chordata, Actinopteri, Cypriniformes, Danionidae.